UUCUAAAGACGUGUUUCGGAAGACGUCUUUUGUUGAAAACACUAAUAUCAUAAUGCAGCAUAUCAAAUCAUUUCGAGGACGAUCUUCUCAUUACGCUCGAACAAAAUCUACUAGACUUUACCUUCCAGAAGACUUGAACAUUUUUAAAAUGUACUGCAUGUUAAAAGGAAACUUUAAUAUCCCAUUAGAGAUCAUUUGUACAUGGAAUGUGACAGAGAUAUGGCUAUUAUUAAUCAAAAGUUUCCAGCAGAAAUACGAGAAGACUGGAGGAGUGUUUUUCAGGCAUCUCAAAAAAUACUAGAGCCAUUCAACAUUAUAUACAUGACGCAAGAAAAGUUUUUGAAGAUUACAGAGUUUUUUUAGAUAUACUUUUUAGUUGUUUGCCUGUUUAAGUCACGUCCUAUCAGAGAAGUUGAAAUAUCAAAGGCUCAUUCUAACCUAAUUAUGUAUAGGGAAAACUGGAGCGGUAUGUUUAGUCUUAUGCGUGUCACAUCUUUUAGGUCAUUAUCAUGUUCUCGUUCAAUAAGAGGGAAAAGAUUGACCAGAUCUAAACAUGUCUUUGAAGUGCCUGAUAAGCUGAAACAAUCAUAUAUAGACCUGUUGCCACUUUCUUGUGAAAAAUUUAAAGACUUACUAAAACUAAAAAGUUUGUUAGUGAACAAAUAAGUCUUUCUGUGAUCAGUUGCCAGUUGAUAACCUACUUGCCCAGGAUUCUGAACCAGAGCAAAUUUCUGACUCAGGGUGAGUCUGUUAAUCUACAGAUGAUUGCUUAUUUAUUUGCAACUGUUAUUAGCAAUUAGGAAGAUAAGAAAAAGACUCAAGCAAUCCAUACAGCACAAAUUCAAUCAAUUUGUCGGAAAUAUUGAUUUAAAUGAUCAUAUCUCAGAUCAUCUAGAAGGUAUUCCAUUACCAGCUAAGUCAAUGGAAGAAAUAGAUAUUGUAACACAGAAGCUGGAAAAUCCCGGAAUAAAGAAAAUAGUUUUAAAAAUAAUUACUUACAAAAUUUUUUUAAAUAUA
Molecule: long non-coding RNA, 1017 nt
Organism: Hydra vulgaris (swiftwater hydra)
Lineage: Eukaryota; Metazoa; Cnidaria; Hydrozoa; Anthoathecata; Hydridae
Source: RefSeq, a predicted model, not a curated record